GGUCAAGUCCCGUGCGACUGCAACAAGCCCAACCCCGCCAGGUCCGGAAGGAAGCAACGGUCAGUUUGCGUGUAGUGCGAUACGGUCAGCUUGACCUUU
Molecule: signal recognition particle RNA, 99 nt
Filed under: Kapaibacterium sp. (SeqCode)
Lineage: Bacteria; Pseudomonadati; Bacteroidota; Eximiradiia; Eximiradiales; Kapaibacteriaceae (SeqCode)
Description: Candidatus Kapabacteria bacterium (microbial mat metagenome) signal recognition particle sRNA small type
Rfam family: Bacterial small signal recognition particle RNA
About the family: The signal recognition particle (SRP) is a universally conserved ribonucleoprotein involved in the co-translational targeting of proteins to membranes. Archaeal SRP consists of a 7S RNA and homologues of the eukaryotic SRP19 and SRP54 proteins.
Source: RNAcentral